This 1173-nucleotide unclassified non-coding RNA is filed under the name Yarrowia lipolytica. Lineage: Eukaryota; Fungi; Ascomycota; Dipodascomycetes; Dipodascales. The record is from RNAcentral.
AAGGUGCCACGCAAAAACGAGGCGUCGGAGAUACGGUCGGAGAUGCCAUUUUCGACCGACGUUUGGCGGAGGUGGCCUUCCUUUCCGAGGCGAUAUCCACUUGUUGCUCUGGAAGUGGUGGUGGGGGAUGAAGGGUUCUGGAGUUGGACACAAAGGGUUGUGAAGUUGGGGGACUUUGCGGAGUCAGGAGUUGGUCAGGAGUCCGUUUGAUUGAGCCUGAGUCGGUUCGAGCCGGUCCCAGAACACUUCACUUGCACUGCUGACAACAGGCCAGACUACAGCGUUGAAGAGAGCGAAACAAGUGCACAAUUUGGUUGCACCAACAAACCACACCCCUGAUGAUCUCAACCAAUCUAGCGGUGAGAAGCAAAUCUUUGACCUUCUUCUUGAUCCCGGCUGUCUACAGUACACUGUAGAUACUGCUCAAGGCGACCUCGAAAGGCGUAAGGGUAUUGUACUACGAUCCCUGCCCCCUACCACUCCUACCACCCUACCACCACUGACCCAGUUUGGUGUUUCUACACCUCCUCUUCGGAACCACCUCAAUCUCUCUCUCCCUCGUGCCAUUAUGGGCAUGUCAGAUAAUACCCGACUACAGAAAAGAUGAGAAUCACCAUGCUCAAGAAGCUGGAGCGGAGACUGGACCAACUGCAAAGGCUGGAAGGAGAAGCGUCUCACUCGAAAGAUCAAAUGGAACAUGACGAGAGCCAAAAGACGAUUGCGGAUCUUCAUUAACAGGUUCAACAAGAUGGUGAAAACAAUGCGAGUGGCCCAACUUUCCAGACUGGUUGCUCAGACCCACACUCUGCGACAACACAGCAACUUCAGUGCAUCUGUUACGAAUGUCGGUACGAAUGUCGGUACGAAUGUCAGUACGAGUACCGCUACUCGUUUUCCUACGAAUACUGCUACUCUUUGUCGUUGUCGUUGUCGUUCUCAUUCUCGUUGUCGCUCUCUUCAUCGCAUCAACUGACAAGGAAUGAAAAAGAGAACUGAGACUGUGGCUACUGCAGUCGAGCAAGCCUAGAUGUUGGAUGUCAGAGCCCAAGAAAUGCAGCGACAGAUUGUUUUUUCGCAGUGACAGCCACCACUGCUGCUGCGUUAUAGUCUGUGGCUUUUCUGGCCAGCAGGCUACUGCGGCUUUGACCAGACUCUCACGUAGACAUGAUCAUA